This 421-nucleotide ribosomal RNA is filed under the name uncultured bacterium. Its description in RNAcentral is "bacterial SSU rRNA". It matches the Rfam family "Bacterial small subunit ribosomal RNA", at positions 355 to 775 of the family's 1533-position model. The record is from RNAcentral.
UCGAGGAUCUUCGGCAAUGGGCGCAAGCCUGACCGAGCGACGCCGCGUGCGGGAUGAAGGCCUUCGGGUUGUAAACCGCUGUCGUAGAGGAGGAAGGCCGGGUGAAGAGCCCGGUUUGACCUAUUCUAGGAGGAAGGGUGGGCUAAGUUCGUGCCAGCAGCCGCGGUAAGACGAACCACCCAAACGUUAUUCGGAAUUACUGGGCUUAAAGGGUGCGUAGGCUGUGCGGAAAGUUGGGUGUGAAAUACCUCAGCUUAACUGAGGAACUGCGCUCAAAACUACCGUGCUCGAGGGAGACAGAGGUAAGCGGAACUUAGGGUGGAGCGGUGAAAUGCGUUGAUAUCCUAAGGAACACCGGUGGCGAAAGCGGCUUACUGGGUCUCUUCUGACGCUGAGGCACGAAAGCUAGGGUAGCGAACGG